This 494-nucleotide ribosomal RNA is filed under the name uncultured bacterium. RNAcentral describes it as "bacterial SSU rRNA". It matches the Rfam family "Bacterial small subunit ribosomal RNA", at positions 8 to 507 of the family's 1533-position model. The record is from RNAcentral.
AGAGUUUGAUCCUGGCUCAGGACAACGCUGGCGGCGUGCUUAACACAUGCAAGUCGAGCGGAAAGGCUCCUUCGGGGGUACUCGAGCGGCGAACGGGUGAGUAACACGUGAGUAAUCUGCCCUUGGCUUUGGGAUAACUACCGGAAACGGUGGCUAAUACCGGAUACGACCACUCCUUGCAUGAGGUGGUGGUGGAAAGUUUUUUCGGCCAGGGAUGUGCUCGCGGCCUAUCAGCUUGUUGGUGGGGUAAUGGCCUACCAAGGCUUCGACGGGUAGCCGGCCUGAGAGGGUGACCGGCCACACUGGGACUGAGACACGGCCCAGACUCCUACGGGAGGCAGCAGGUGGGGAAUAUUGGACAAUGGGCGGAAGCCUGAUCCAGCAACGCCGCGUGGGGGAUGACGGCCUUCGGGUUGUAAACCUCUUUCAGUACCGACGAAGCGCCGAUGAUGGUGGUGACGGUAGGUACAGAAGAAGCACCGGCCAACUACGUG